GACGAACGCUGGCGGCGUGCUUAACACAUGCAAGUCGAACGGUAAGGCCCUUCGGGGUACACGAGUGGCGAACGGGGGAGUAACACGUGGGUGAUCUGUCCUGCACUUCGGGAUAAGCCUGGGAAACUGGGUCUAAUACCGGAUAGGCCCAAUGCCUGCAUGGGUGGUGGUGGAGAGCUUUUGCGGUGUGGGAUGGGCCCGGAGCCUGUCAGCGUGUUGGUGGGGUGAUGGCCAAUCUAGGCGACGACGGGUAGCCGGCCUGACGGGGUGACCGGCCACGCUGGGACUGAGAAACGGCCCAGUGUCCUACGGGAGGCAGCAGUGGUGAAUAUUGCAAAAUGGGCGCAAGCCUGAUGCAGCGACGCCGCGUGAGGGAUGACGGCCAUCGGGUUGUAAACCUCUUUCAGCACCGACGAAGCGCAAGUGACGGUAGGUGCAGAACAAGGACCGGCCAACUACGUGCCAGCCGCCGCCGUAA
This 478-nucleotide ribosomal RNA is filed under the name uncultured bacterium. RNAcentral's name for it is "partial 16S ribosomal RNA". It matches the Rfam family "Bacterial small subunit ribosomal RNA", at positions 28 to 523 of the family's 1533-position model. The record is from RNAcentral.